RNAcentral lists this ribosomal RNA (264 nucleotides) under uncultured bacterium. Its description in RNAcentral is "partial 16S ribosomal RNA". It matches the Rfam family "Bacterial small subunit ribosomal RNA", at positions 524 to 776 of the family's 1533-position model. The record is from RNAcentral.
UACGUAGGGUGCGAAGCGUUGUCCGGAAAUUAUUGGGCGUAAAGAGCUUCGUAGGCGGCUUGUCACGUCCGGGGUGUGAAAGCCCGGGGGCUUAACCCCGGGUCUGCAUUCGAUACGGGCAGGCUAGAGUGUGGUAGGGGGAGAUCGGAAUUCCUGGUGUAGCGGUGAAAUGCGCAGAUAUCAGGAGGAACGACCGGUGGCGAAGGCGGAAUCUCUCGGGCCGAUUACUGACGCUGAGGAGCGAAAGCGUGGGGAGCGAACAGG